This 233-nucleotide long non-coding RNA is filed under the name Homo sapiens (human). Its description in RNAcentral is "lncAB395.1". The record is from RNAcentral. Lineage: Eukaryota; Metazoa; Chordata; Mammalia; Primates; Hominidae.
GCUGCCAUCGCUCCGGGCCUGCGGGGAUGCCUGACACGUCCGGGGUCUGCGGCCUCCCGGCGUCGGUGUCUGAGCCACGUGCUCCUGUCCCGACCCCUUUCCCGUGUCUCUCCGGUGUCCGCCCCUCGGUCCCGUGUCUGUGUCGCCCUCGUCCGUGUCUGCCUCCCGCUUCCCCGCCUCGCGACUUGAGCCCCGCCCGUACCUGCUUAGGGCGCUGCCCUCGCCCGCUUGCU